RNAcentral lists this ribosomal RNA (534 nucleotides) under Triticum aestivum (bread wheat). RNAcentral's name for it is "partial small subunit ribosomal RNA". Lineage: Eukaryota; Viridiplantae; Streptophyta; Magnoliopsida; Poales; Poaceae. The record is from RNAcentral.
AUGAGCUUUCCAAAAAGACAAAGAGGUAUGGUGUUCAAGGAUUUGGAGAGUUUUAAUUUGGCUAUGCUAACUAAACAAUGUUGGAGACUACUUUGUGAGCCAAACUCCCUAUGUUCCCAAGUGCUUCAUGCAAAAUAUUACCCAUCAGGGGACCUUCUGAAUUGUGAAUUGAAGAAGGGAAGUUCCUAUAGUUGGCAAAGCUUGUGGGCAUGUAUACAAACUUUUAAAAGAGGACAUAUUUGGCGAGUUGGAGAUGGAAACAAUAUUGAUAUAUGGGAUUAUUGCUGGAUUCCGAGCAGUCCGAAUAGGAAGAUUUUGACUAGGAGAGGGAAUAUUGUAUUCACAAAAGUUGGUGAACCAAUUGAUCACGAAGCUCGAAUUUGGGAAGAAACACUAACCAGAGAGCUGUUUUGGGCGGUAGAUGCAGAAAGAAUUCUCAAAAUACCCCUGGCUAUAGGGAUGAAGGAAGAUUUUGUGUCAUGGCAUCAUAAUAAGAAUGGAUUGUUCAUAGUUAAAUCAGCUUAUUUAUUUUGA